UGCUUCCUACUUGUUGUUUUUGAUAAGACAACGUCACAUUGCUUACCAAAUCUAAUAUAUUAUUAUAAAAAUAUUUAACUGAUAGAUAAAUAUUUUUUAUCUGAAAUAAAAAUUCUUAUCAAAUAUUAUUAUAACCUUUAAAUCAUAGAUAAUUCUGAAAUAUAAUUUUUUCAUAUCUGAAAUAUAAACUGGAAAAAGGAUAGACGUCUUCUUAUUUAUUUACACGAUUAUUUACUAUUGUAAAUAAUUUUUUUCUUUAGUGAUUCAAUAAGAUAAUAAUCAGAUUUCUCAAAAAAAAAAGAUAAUAAUCAGGGCAAUGUCGGAGAAAAAAUCAAGGCAAUAAUCAAUUUAUUGACACAGUAAGAGACACAGACAAUUAUAUAACUAGAACAAAUUGUGCGUUUUGUUGUUUUGGUUUUAUUUUCUCGUGAACGGUUAAUUCUAAACAAAGAGCUGCUUCGCUAUCAUUAGGCUUCGGUCCUAAGGAAUUAUUCCUUUAUAAGUUCGAAGCCUAAGGAAUUAUUCAUCCCUUGAACCUAGAUCCGUUACUGAGAUAGAGAUCAUGGAUACUGAACUUAUUGUCAUCAUGUUAGCCUAUUUUGCUUUUGUCUUGGUGAUUCUUAUAGUAAAUCUAGUGAGCUGUUGUGGGGAGAUGUAUUCUGAUGAUUUUAUAUUGACAAAUACGAAAGUCAUUGGUGGCGGUGAUGACGGCAACGGCAACGGCAAAGAUGGAGGAGGAUGUAAUGGUGGUAGCGACAACGGUAGUCGUCGAGAAUCUGAUGGUGGUGUCGGUGGGUUAGUGGUCGUGGUGGUGGUUGUCGCGGGGGAGAAUGUGGUGACGGCGGAGGAUUAAUUACUCAUUCCACUUUCGUGUUGAACUUUAAGUGGUUUUUUGUUUUUUUUUUAUGGUUUGUUUUAUAAUUUUAAAUAGUUGAUUUUAUUAAUUUUCGUAGACAUUCUGAUCC
This is a long non-coding RNA of Raphanus sativus (radish), 965 nucleotides long. RefSeq lists it as uncharacterized. The record is from RefSeq and is a predicted model, not a curated record. The transcript has 2 exons. NCBI's taxonomy places the organism in Eukaryota, Viridiplantae, Streptophyta, Magnoliopsida, Brassicales, Brassicaceae.